GACGAACCGAGCGAACGUUAUUCGGAAUCACUGGGCUUAAAGGGCGCGUAGGCGGGCCGUCAAGUCGAGGGUGAAAUCCCCCAGCUCAACUGGGGAAGUGCCUCCGAUACUGGCGGCCUCGAGGGGGAUAGGGGCAUGCGGAACUUCCGGUGGAGCGGUGAAAUGCGUAGAUAUCGGAAGGAACACCAGUGGCGAAAGCGGCUUCCUGGUCCAGCACCGACGUUCAGGCACGAAAGCGUGGGGAGCAAACAGG
Molecule: ribosomal RNA, 253 nt
Filed under: uncultured bacterium
Lineage: Bacteria
Description: partial 16S ribosomal RNA
Rfam family: Bacterial small subunit ribosomal RNA
Source: RNAcentral